This 478-nucleotide ribosomal RNA is filed under the name uncultured bacterium. RNAcentral describes it as "partial 16S ribosomal RNA". It matches the Rfam family "Bacterial small subunit ribosomal RNA", at positions 28 to 507 of the family's 1533-position model. The record is from RNAcentral.
GACGAACGCUGGUGGCGUGCUUAACACAUGCAAGUCGAACGGGAUUUAGUAAACAGAAGCCUCGGUGGAAGAUUACUAAUGAGAGUGGCGAACGGGUGAGUAACGCGUGAGCAACCUGCCUAUGACAGUGGGAUAGCCUCGGGAAACCGGGAUUAAUACCGCAUAAAAUCGUAGAAACACAUGUUUUAACGGUCAAAGAUUUAUCGGUCAUAGAUGGGCUCGCGUCUGAUUAGCUAGUUGGUGAGAUAACAGCCCACCAAGGCGACGAUCAGUAGCCGGUCUGAGAGGAUGAACGGCCACAUUGGAACCGAGACACGGUCCAAACUCCUACGGGAGGCAGCAGUGGGGAAUAUUGCACAAUGGGGGAAACCCUGAUGCAGCGACGCCGCGUGAACGAAGAAGGUAUUCGUAUCGUAAAGUUCUGUCCUAUGGGAAGAUAAUGACAGUACCAUAGAAGAAAGCUCCGGCUAAAUACGUG